Molecule: ribosomal RNA, 252 nt
Filed under: uncultured bacterium
Lineage: Bacteria
Description: partial 16S ribosomal RNA
Rfam family: Bacterial small subunit ribosomal RNA
Source: RNAcentral
UACGUAGGGGGCGAGCGUUGUCCGGAAUCAUUGGGCGUAAAGAGCUCUGUAGGCGGUUUGCGAUCUGCCGUGAAAGCCCGGGGCUCAACUCCGGAAUUGCCUUUAAGACUGCAUCGCUAGAAUUGUGGAGAGGUAAGUGGAAUUCCGAGUGUAGAGGUGAAAUUCGUAGAUAUUCGGAAGAACACCAGUGGCGAAGGCGACUUACUGGACACAUAUUGACGCUGAGGUGCGAAAGCGUGGGGAGCAAACAGG